RNAcentral lists this long non-coding RNA (317 nucleotides) under Homo sapiens (human). Its description in RNAcentral is "HSALNT0123936". Lineage: Eukaryota; Metazoa; Chordata; Mammalia; Primates; Hominidae. The record is from RNAcentral.
CCAUACAAAGAAUCAAAAUUCCACCCGUUCUACUGACAUCUUGAGACAUGAUGGGAUUUUGCUGCUACUGGCUCCAUGGAAUAAAAGGGACUGCUUCACUGUGUAUUCAUGACAGAGGCAUGACACUCACCCUUGACUGAGCCUGGGGUGACUGACAUGACAUUAACAUGUAAUUCAACAUGCAUGACAGUCAAAUGAGGCCAAAAAUCAUGAUCCAUCCAUCAACAUGGGCCAAUUGGGACAACUAUGGACUUGGCCCAGUUACAUACAUUUAGAAAAUAAUUAUAAUACAACAUAGCAUGUAUAGCAGGUGAGGU